RNAcentral lists this ribosomal RNA (480 nucleotides) under Galacantha rostrata. Its description in RNAcentral is "partial 16S ribosomal RNA". It matches the Rfam family "Bacterial large subunit ribosomal RNA", at positions 1858 to 2585 of the family's 2925-position model. Lineage: Eukaryota; Metazoa; Arthropoda; Malacostraca; Decapoda; Munidopsidae. The record is from RNAcentral.
CCUGCCCAUUGAUUUUUUUUAAAGGCCGCGGUAUUUUGACUGUGCAAAGGUAGCAUAAUAAUUAGCUUUUUAAUUGAAAGCUUGUAUGAACGGUUGGACAAAGAAGUAACUGUCUUUGGUGCACUGUUUGAACUUUACAUUUAAGUGAAAAGGCUUAAAUUAAUUUAAGGGACGACAAGACCCUAUAAAUCUUUACAUUUUAUUUGUUUUUUUUCUUUAGGUUUGCGAAAUUAAUUAAAAUACAAAAUAACAUGUUACAUUGGGGAGAUGAAGAUAUAAUAAUUAAACUGUCUUUAAACAAUAUAAACAAAUAUUAUUGAUUUACGGAGGAUCCUUUUUAGAGAUUAAAAGUUUAAGUUACUUUAGGGAUAACAGCGUAAUUUUUUUUGAGAGUUCAUAUCGAAAAAAAAGUUUGCGACCUCGAUGUUGAAUUAAAAAUUUCCUUAUGGUGAAGAAGUUAUAAAGGAGAGUCUGUUCGAC